UACGUAGGGUGCGAGCGUUGUCCGGAAUUAUUGGGCGUAAGGAGCUCGUAGGCGGUUUGUUGCGUCGGCCGUGAAAACCUGCAGCUUAACUGUGGGCCUGCGGUCGAUACGGGCAGACUUGAGUUCGGUAGGGGAGACUGGAAUUCCUGGUGUAGCGGUGAAAUGCGCAGAUAUCAGGAGGAACACCGGUGGCGAAGGCGGGUCUCUGGGCCGAUACUGACGCUGAGGAGCGAAAGCGUGGGGAGCGAACAGG
RNAcentral lists this ribosomal RNA (253 nucleotides) under uncultured bacterium. RNAcentral describes it as "partial 16S ribosomal RNA". It matches the Rfam family "Bacterial small subunit ribosomal RNA", at positions 524 to 776 of the family's 1533-position model. The record is from RNAcentral.